Molecule: ribosomal RNA, 587 nt
Filed under: uncultured bacterium
Lineage: Bacteria
Description: bacterial SSU rRNA
Rfam family: Bacterial small subunit ribosomal RNA
Source: RNAcentral
CCUGCCUUAUACAGGGGGAUAACAGUUGGAAACGACUACUAAUACCGCAUAAGCGCACGGUAUCGCAUGAUACAGUGUGAAAACUCCGGUGGUAUAAGAUGGACCCGCGUCUGAUUAGUUAGUUGGUGGGGUAACGGCCCACCAAGGCGACGAUCAGUAGCCGACCUGAGAGGGUGACCGGCCACAUUGGGACUGAGACACGGCCCAAACUCCUACGGGAGGCAGCAGUGGGGAAUAUUGCACAAUGGGCGAAAGCCUGAUGCAGCGACGCCGCGUGAGCGAAGAAGUAUUUCGGUAUGUAAAGCUCUAUCAGCAGGGAAGAUAAUGACGGUACCUGACUAAGAAGCACCGGCUAAAUACGUGCCAGCAGCCGCGGUAAUACGUAUGGUGCAAGCGUUAUCCGGAUUUACUGGGUGUAAAGGGAGCGCAGGCGGUACGGCAAGUCUGAUGUGAAAGCCCGGGGCUCAACCCCGGUACUGCAUUGGAAACUGUCGGACUAGAGUGUCGGAGGGGUAAGUGGAAUUCCUAGUGUAGCGGUGAAAUGCGUAGAUAUUAGGAGGAACACCAGUGGCGAAGGCGGCUUACUG